CCCUGAAAAGACAUUAACAAGGUAGCUCAUAUGAAGGUAUACUGGAAUAGGUGUUUGAUCUAUAAUUGCCUGAAGAGAUCUAUCAAAUUCUAGUAAAGAUGUAUGUUAGGCCGAUAAGCCACCCAAUAACCGCCCUAUAAGAGCUAACCCGAUAUCAAUCCGCCCGAUAUCUUAUCGGGUGGCUAACGGAUUAANNNNNN
This 200-nucleotide long non-coding RNA is filed under the name Nicotiana benthamiana. RNAcentral describes it as "long non-coding RNA (NBEN_LNC020275)". The record is from RNAcentral. Lineage: Eukaryota; Viridiplantae; Streptophyta; Magnoliopsida; Solanales; Solanaceae.